GACGGGCUCCCCCGCCGGCGAGUCCUACACCAAGGCCGUUUUUUCCCCUAGCCCUGAUAACGCUCGAGCUGUGCCCAAAUCUGCCCCAGCAUCAGAGCUACGGGCCAGGUGCCGGCGCCAGGUCCCGCAGCGGCACCGCGGGUAGGAG
Molecule: long non-coding RNA, 148 nt
Organism: Oxyura jamaicensis (ruddy duck)
Lineage: Eukaryota; Metazoa; Chordata; Aves; Anseriformes; Anatidae
Exons: 3
Source: RefSeq, a predicted model, not a curated record